CUUCUCGAACACGCAUUUCUCAGACUUCCCUUUAUCUCUCCCUUUUUCUUCUCUUUCUCUUUUUCUCUAUAUUUCUUUGUGUCUUGUGAAGAACAACAACAAGAACAUGAAGAGCAAAUGAAGAACAAGAAGCAAUUUUGUUUGAGGGGAAUGUUGUCUGGCUCGAGGUCACUUUUUUCUCUAAAAUUAAUUCCAUCUUUCGUUUUAAUUUCAAACAAAUUACUACGAUCGACGAAUUGAUUCAUUCGAAACGAAGUGUCGUCGGACCAGGCUUCAUUCCCCCCACAAAUUUUGCUUCAAUUACUCAAUCCAUCAACAAAAAGCGCAAAACCCCCAAAUCGAUUUUCUUCAUGGGGUUGUUGAUUACUUUGAUCUCCUCUUCAAGAUCUACAGUUUUGUGGAUUUCACUGUUUAUUUCUGAGGCUUUUACAUUAUCUGAGAAUUGCAGCCUUCAAACUGAAGUUCAUUGAAAGGGGUAAGUUUGGUAUAGUCUUAGUUUUACAGAGAAUCUAAUGAAAACUUGAGAUUUUAAUGCAAUAACUAGUACUGUGCAUGUUUCACUCUUUAGACCACUUUGAAAAGAUACAUGACUUUGUAAUAACUUGAAUUUACAUUAUUACAUUAUGAUUAAAAGAGUUAGCCUAUCCCCUAUUCUAUUCUGUUCCUACUUGCUUUGAUCUAUUAUUUACAUACAUGACAUGUUGAUCAUUGAAUGAAUAUACAAGUUUUGACAAAAGAUGUGACAUAACUAAUGGGUAAAUGAGAUAAAAUUGAAACCCAGAUCUAACAAAAUUUUUGGUUUAGUGUCUAUUCUUUUUGCUCAUUCUAUAUCAUUUUUUUAUUGAAUUGUCAAUUGUGAUUGUGUUUGUGUAUGUUCUGUUCGUUGAGUAUCGUUGAUUCUAUUAGAUUCAUAUUCAUAUCAAAAUGAUUAAAAAAAUAUUCAAAACUUUAACAAGUAACAACGUAAGUCCUUAUAUAUUUUCAAUUUAUAAUGAUUUAAUUAAUUUAAUAAAAUUUCUUACAUGAUUAGAGUUACAAAUCGGUAAGCUGUAAAUAAUAAAGAAUAAAUACUUUAUUUUGAUGAAAAUUUUCGACUACACCAUUAAAAAUUAAAUAGCAUAGAGACUAAGUUAUUAUACUCGUUGAAUUUUACAGAUGAAAUAGUUACAAACUGGGAAGGACCCAAAUUGUUAUUUUUGAAGGGUUUAGUGAUGGAAAGUGUUCUUUAAUGGGAGAAAAAGGUCAAUAGAAUCAAAAUGAUAAUGGAAGCUAAAGAAAAAGGAAGAAGGAAGAGGAAAGAGAGUGAUUGAAAAGGUGAGGAGAGAGAAAUUAAUGGAGGGGAGGGAAGAGAAGGUGAUGGGUUGAGUUGUAGGGUUGGGUGUCUCAUUGUGUCAUCAAAUUUUGAAACUGAGACAUAUGCUUCCCAUCUUCACUCAUAAAUGUUUUCAAUAAUAAUAAUAAUAAUAAUUAAUUCUUUCAAGAAAGAAAUAAUUAAUUCAUUAUUGUCUCUUCUCUCUCUUGCCUUCCUUUUUCACUCUGUAAAAAUCUGAAUCAUUUGUGUUAAAUUAGAGAAGUCAACAUCACCAUUUACACACCAUGCAAAA
Molecule: long non-coding RNA, 1604 nt
Organism: Cucumis melo (muskmelon)
Lineage: Eukaryota; Viridiplantae; Streptophyta; Magnoliopsida; Cucurbitales; Cucurbitaceae
Exons: 2
Source: RefSeq, a predicted model, not a curated record